Molecule: transfer RNA, 84 nt
Filed under: Amedibacillus dolichus
Lineage: Bacteria; Bacillati; Bacillota; Erysipelotrichia; Erysipelotrichales; Erysipelotrichaceae
Also listed under: 4 other names
Description: tRNA-Leu
Rfam family: tRNA
About the family: Transfer RNA (tRNA) molecules are approximately 80 nucleotides in length. Their secondary structure includes four short double-helical elements and three loops (D, anti-codon, and T loops).
Source: RNAcentral
GAUGCCGUGGUGGAAUGGCAGACACGCUACUUUGAGGGGGUAGUGGGGCAACCCGUGUGAGUUCAAGUCUCAUCGGCAUCACCA